CUACGGGGGGCAGCAGUGAGGAAUAUUGGUCAAUGGGCGAGAGCCUGAACCAGCCAAGUCGCGUGCAGGAAGACUGCCCUAUGGGUUGUAAACUGCUUUUGUAUGAGAGUAAAAGACGUUACGAGUAAUGUUUUGCAAGUAUCAUACGAAUAAGGAUCGGCUAACUCCGUGCCAGCAGCCGCGGUAAUACGGAGGAUCCGAGCGUUAUCCGGAUUUAUUGGGUUUAAAGGGUGCGUAGGCGGAAGAUUAAGUCAGUGGUGAAAGUUUGCGGCUCAACCGUAAAAUUGCCAUUGAUACUGAUUUUCUUGAGUACAAAUGAGGUAGGCGGAAUGGGUUGUGUAGCGGCGAAAUGCAUAGAUAUAACACAGAACACCAAUUGCGAAGGCAGCUUACUGGGAUGUAACUGACGCUGAGGCACGAAAGCGUGGGGAUCAAACAGGAUUAGAUACCCUGGUAGUC
This 459-nucleotide ribosomal RNA is filed under the name uncultured bacterium. Its description in RNAcentral is "partial 16S ribosomal RNA". It matches the Rfam family "Bacterial small subunit ribosomal RNA", at positions 339 to 795 of the family's 1533-position model. The record is from RNAcentral.